CAGCAUCUCUGCAGAAUGUGGAUAGGUGACGUUGUGGGUUGAGAGCAUUCUUCAGACACUCGGUCUGGAACUGGACCUGGGAUCCAAGUGAGUUGCCGGCCCUGGCUUGCAGCGGCUCGGAGAGAGGCGAGGAUCGGUGCAAUAAUUGGUUGCAACCUGCGGGCUACGGGAGUGCAGGUAAUGGUCGGCGAUGGCAUGGGCAGCACCAGGCAUGGCCUGGAAGUGGCCGAGGAAGCUGUGCGGGCCGGCGGCGGCGGCGGCAGUAGGUCUGGCCUGGACGCAGCCAGGGAGGGGCGACGCAGGCUAGAGGGUGGCAAUGGCAGUCUGGCCUGGAAACUGCUGAGGAAGUUGUGUGGGCUGGCAGUAGCAGCAGUAGGUCGGGCCUGGAAGUGGCCAGGGAGGGGAUGCAGGCCAGGGAUGGUGUCGGCAGCCCAGCCUGGUCGUGAAGGUUGGUGGGUCCGCGAGCAUUGCCACUUUUCAUUUCACUGUACAUCUCGUAUGUGUAUUUGACAAAUAAACUUGACUUUGACUGACUUGACCUCUAUAAACUGAAAUUCAUUAUAAAGAGGUCCGUGAUAACAAGGGCUCACUGUAUAGAAAUUGGGACAUCGUUACAGUUGCACAAGGCAUUGGUGAGACUACACUUGCACCUGUGUUCAGUUUUGGUCACCCAGCUAUAGAAAUAUGCCAAAAGCCAGAACAAAUGCAAAGACGAUUUACUAGGAUGUUGCUGGGACUUUAUGGAGGGCGUGAUGUACAGGAAGAGAUUGGGCAGAUUAGAACGGUAUUCCUUCGACCACAAGAGACUGAGCUGUGGUUUUAUAAGUAUGUACAAAUCACGAGUGAAUGUACAUGGUAUGUUUCCCAGAGUUGGGGAAAGACUUCAAAGCGACUCGGGGGACGGUUUUCACACACAGAAGGCGGUGAGUACAUGAUACCAGCUGCUGCAGGAAGUAUAUACAAGGAAAUGCGGAUGUUGGUUUACAAAACAAAACACGUAGUGUUGGAGUAACUCAGCGGGCCAGGCAACAUUUCUGAAGAACUUCGUGUCAUUUUUUUUUGCCAUGGGAAGUAGUUGAGACAGAUGAUCAAGUGUUGGCGCCUAUUGUGUCCAUUGCCUGUCGAUACAUCUGCCUCUCCCCUCUUAAGAAAGAAACAAGCCAUUGACUGGUCCAACGUUAUUGAUGCCGGGUCUGAACUAUGGAACAUAGGUCCAUGAGCACAGAGUUACAAUUCUCACCAAUGGCUACAUUUGAACCGCACAGCAGAGCGAUACCAACAUAACUGUUUGUACAGUGUAAGGAAUUGAAAUCGAUCUUACCUGUGAAGAAGUAGGUUGAAGAUUUUAAUCCGAACAUAUUCCGUCUCAGCAAAUUUUUGACAUGGUUGAAAGAAAAAUAACCCGAGGGAAGAUCUUUUAAUUGCAGCUGCGGGUGUCGGGGAGGUCGUGGUGGGGGGGACUUGAUAAUUCUUGGUACAAAGCAGUGAGAGAGGUCCCCUCGCCACCGUUCAGCCGAGGUCCAGCACAGAGAGCGAUCCCCUCGCAAGGUUACGAAGCGCGGAGGAGAAAGAAAGGCUUGUGCUGCCCUCUCGAGUCAGCGGGAGGUCCGCGACACACACACACACACACACACACACACACAGAGAAAGAAAGAGAGAGAAGAAACAAAAACACGAAGAGACGGGAAUGAUGCGAGGUCAAAGCGGCAGCAUGAAAGAGCCGCGGUUCAGGCUGGCUGCUGCGCCGCCGUUUGGAUGAGUGGAAGGAAUGGCUGGCACCGGCUGGAAACUCCGGCUCGGAAUAUGGAGGAAGGGGGGGGGGGGGGGGUGUCCGCUUUCAAACUCUGGGAGACACCAAGCCGCUGAAGAAGCCCCUGCUGGCCAAGAACCAGAAAGGAAACAAUAUAUAAUGAUUUCUGCCUAUAGCUGCGGGUCAGAUUCAUAACAGCACAGGAGCGUUACAACAAAACUAAUCACAUCUUGGUCAAAUGUCAAAGCAAUCUACAAUGAAAGAAUAACCGCACUUAGUGGCGGGAUCUCCAUACAAACAGAACAUUAUUUAAAAUAUAAUAACCUCUGGAAGAUAAAUUACAGUGCAAUCUUAUGUAACCCAUGGGGAUUUUUUGUUUAUAAAAGUCUCAGUUCAAUGUGCUUGGUUGUACGGGGAAAGGCCUACUGCAUCUAUAUAAAUAACUAUUCAACAAGGAUUAACCACAAAGCAGAGCAUAGAAGUCAUAAUGUAACAAUAUGAACUUGUCAUGCCCCAGUACUUCCUUUGACCAAAUAAAAAGCCAUAUAUUUCACA
This is a long non-coding RNA of Leucoraja erinaceus (little skate), 2305 nucleotides long. RefSeq lists it as uncharacterized. The record is from RefSeq and is a predicted model, not a curated record. Lineage: Eukaryota; Metazoa; Chordata; Chondrichthyes; Rajiformes; Rajidae. The transcript has 3 exons.